CUCUUUUGAAGCUCGUUUUUUAUGUCAGAUACACCUGGGCAGUGGGAAGGGACAAUUUUACCACAGUUCUGAGGAAUCAGAGCCAAGCUGUGGGGAAGAAAGGAAAGAGUGAGCUCCCUUCUGUACCUGGCAGGAGAGAGGGCUGAGACCUGACCCCUGCCUCAGCCAUCUGUGACUGGGCUACUGUCCUCUGGGGCUGAUCUCAUCAAAGGGAGCUGCUCUUCAUGGCAUUCUAAUAUAAAGCCUAUCAUGGUGCUACCAAGCCAUGAAAAUCCAUUUGCAGCACUUCCAUUUUUUACAAGGCUAUCUUAUGAGGUGCAAUACAGAAGGAAAACCUGAAGGUUGCUUUACUGCUCAGUACUCAGGUGAAAUCUGAGACCAACCAAGAGGUAAAGCUACACAAUACAAGAAAAAGAAGAGCUAGAACUGGGAUUUUAAGCUUCUUAAACUAUUAUCUCCUAUUUCUG
Zonotrichia leucophrys gambelii is the source of this 467-nucleotide long non-coding RNA. RefSeq lists it as uncharacterized. The record is from RefSeq and is a predicted model, not a curated record. Lineage: Eukaryota; Metazoa; Chordata; Aves; Passeriformes; Passerellidae. The transcript has 4 exons.